GGGGAAAGUCUGCGGGAGCUCCACAGCCCAGCAGCCGGGAUCCAACCUAACCCCAAACCCGCGCCCUAUAAUGACGUCAGGCGGUGCGCCUCCCGCGAUGCCUCGCGCGGAGCCGGAGCCGGAGCGCGCGCUUGGAAGUGGGCCGGCUCUGGGCGGAGGCGCGGGCCCCGCGGUCAGACGGCCUGGGAUCUUCGGCCUUUAUUCACUAGUUGGACCCCUCGAAACAGGUCACGUCUCUUGUCCCUGCUCACUGUGGGCGGCGAGAGACUGCCAGGUGAACUCCAAGGCCUGAUUUUCCCUCUCCAUCUUCACAGAGCUUGAUUGCUGAAGUGCAGGUGGCCAUGUUACAAAAGGAAGAACUAAAUGUUUGUGAAAGCUGAUGCCCCAGAAGGCCCAGGAUAAGAAGUCAGAGGUGUGGGCUGGACGUGGUGUGUGUAUUAAAGCAGUCCAGGAUCCUGGCUCUUCUCUUGGAGUCUCAUACCCCUCAUCAGGAAUGCAAGAGAUUUGCAUUAGUUCCCCGAUUGACCAGGGAUGGAACCCGUCCCCCAUGAAGUGGGAGUGCGGAGUCCUAACCACUGGACCGCCAGGGAAUUCCCAGAAGGUUUCUAAGAGACCAAAUUCUCACCCUUUGCGAUUGCAUAAAUGAGGACACAGCUGGGGCGGGCAUGAGUCUGGACAAGCCCACGCAGGGUUGAUUGCCCUGUUCUGUGGUCAAUGACCCCACACUUCUCCCAGUGAUUGAAGAGGGACCCCUAGAGUCAUGCAAAUGGAACAUAUCCAU
Long non-coding RNA from Aethalodelphis obliquidens (Pacific white-sided dolphin), 781 nucleotides. RefSeq lists it as uncharacterized. The transcript is spliced from 2 exons. The record is from RefSeq and is a predicted model, not a curated record. NCBI's taxonomy places the organism in Eukaryota, Metazoa, Chordata, Mammalia, Artiodactyla, Delphinidae.